RNAcentral lists this small RNA (1090 nucleotides) under Pongo abelii (Sumatran orangutan). Its description in RNAcentral is "retained intron". The record is from RNAcentral. Lineage: Eukaryota; Metazoa; Chordata; Mammalia; Primates; Hominidae.
CUCUUCGCUACUCCGUAGUGACGGAGAUUGUUGUGUUGCAAAAAUCCGGCCGUCGACCUGAGGACUUGCGUGCAGCUCAGCUCCCGGGACGUUUGGAGAUCUUUCCAGCAUCUCAGGAUCAGAAGACUCAGACUCAGCCAGUGAGGAGGACUUGCAGACACUGGAUCGGGAGAGGGCUACAUUUGAGAAGUUUAGCCGACCCCAAGGCUUUUACCCUCAUCGAGUUCUUUUCCAGAAUGCCCAGGGCCAGUUUCUUUAUGCCUACCGCUGUGUCCUAGGCCCUCAUCAGGAUCCCCCAGAAGAGGCAAAACUGCUGCUACAGAAUCUGCAAAGCAGAGGUCCCAGAGACUGCGUGGUGCUCAUGGCUGCAGCUGGGCACUUUGCUGGUGCUAUAUUUCAAGGGUGAGAGGGUGCUGCAUGGGGGUAAGGAUGGAGUGGAUCCUGUUAGCCAGGGAGCACCAGCUGGUCUCCAGUACUGAGUCUGUGCUGUCUACAGAAGAGAAGUGGUGACACACAAAACUUUUCACCGCUAUACGGUGCGAGCCAAGCGGGGCACAGCCCAGGGGCUUCGGGAUGCCCGAGGUGGGCCAUCACGCUCUGCUGGAGCCAACCUGAGGCGCUACAAUGAAGCCACACUAUAUAAGGAUGUUCGUGACCUGCUGGCAGGGCCAAGCUGGGCUAAGGCGCUGGAGGAGGCUGGUACAAUACUGUUGCGUGCUCCCCGCUCUGGCCGGUCGUUGUUCUUUGGAGGCAAGGGGGCACCCCUGCAAAGGGGGGAUCCCCGACUUUGGGAUAUCCCCCUCGCCACCCGCAGACCCACCUUCCAAGAGCUACAGCGUGUGCUCCAUAAGCUGACCACUUUGCAUGUCUAUGAAGAAGACCCUCGGGAAGCAGUCAGACUGCACUCACCUCAGACACACUGGAAAACAAUAAGAGAGGAGAGAAAGAAGCCUACUGAGGAAGAAAUAAGAAAGAUCUGCAGUGAUGAAAAGGAAGCACUUGGGCAGAAUGAGGAAUCUCCCAAACAGGGUUUGAUUACUAUCUGGCAACUGUCAGAUCUGAGUUUCUGUCCUAAAAAUGCACUGGCAAA